RNAcentral lists this ribosomal RNA (499 nucleotides) under uncultured bacterium. RNAcentral describes it as "bacterial SSU rRNA". It matches the Rfam family "Bacterial small subunit ribosomal RNA", at positions 28 to 509 of the family's 1533-position model. The record is from RNAcentral.
GAUGAACGCUAGCGGCAGGCUUAAUACAUGCAAGUUGAGGGGCAGCAUGAUAUACGUAAGUAUAUUGAUGGCGACCGGCGGACGGGUGAGUAAAAGGUAGGAGACCUACCUCAUACAGGGGGAUAGCAUAGAGAAAUCUGUGGUAAUACCCCAUGAGGUUAUAUGAAUAGAGGCAUAUAAUCAAAGUAUACGAGAGUAUGCGGUAUGAGAUGGGCCUACUGACCAUUAGCUAGUUGGUGAGGUAAGGGCUCACCAAGGCGAAGAUGGUUAGGGGUUUUGAGAGAGAGAUCCCCCACAUUGGAACUGAGAUACGGUCCAGACUCCUACGGGAGGCAGCAGUAGGGAAUAUUGGGCGAAUGGGCGAAAGCCUGACCCAGCCAUGCCGCGUGAAGGAAGACGGCCUUAUGGGUUGUAAACUUCUUUACUAUACGAAUAGAGGUUAGUACGAGUUACUAAUAGGAAGGUAGUAUAGCAAAAGACACCGGACUAACUCCGUGCC